Molecule: ribosomal RNA, 492 nt
Filed under: uncultured bacterium
Lineage: Bacteria
Description: partial 16S ribosomal RNA
Rfam family: Bacterial small subunit ribosomal RNA
Source: RNAcentral
AGUGAACGCUGGCGGUAGGCCUAACACAUGCAAGUCGAACGGCAGCACAGUAAGAGCUUGCUCUUACGGGUGGCGAGUGGCGGACGGGUGAGGAAUACAUCGGAAUCUACUUUUUCGUGGGGGAUAACGUAGGGAAACUUACGCUAAUACCGCAUACGACCUACGGGGGAAAGCAGGGGAUCUUCGGACCUUGCGCGAUUGAAUGAGCCGAUGUCGGAUUAGCUAGUUGGCGGGGUAAAGGCCCACCAAGGCGACGAUCCGUAGCUGGUCUGAGAGGAUGAUCAGCCACACUGGAACUGAGACACGGUCCAGACUCCUACGGGAGGCAGCAGUGGGGAAUAUUGGACAAUGGGCGCAGGCCUGAUCCAGCCAUACCGCGUGGGUGAAGAAGGCCUUCGGGUUGUAAAGCCCUUUUGUUGGGAAAGAAAAGCAGCAGGUUAAUACCCCGCUGUUCUGACGGUACCCAAAGAAUAAGCACCGGCUAACUUCGUG